GAUGAACGCUAGCGGGAGGCUUAAUACAUGCAAGUCGAGCGGCAAGUUUUGAUAGCAAUAUUGGAACCUAGAGCGGCGCACGGGUGAGUAACGCGUACAUGACCUGCCCUAUACUGGGGGAUAGUCUUGGGAAACUGAGAAUAAUCCCGCAUGUGAUUAGAAUGCUGCAUGGCAAAUUAAUUAAAGCUGAGGCGGUAUAGGAUGGGUGUGCGUCUGAUUAGCUAGUUGGUAGUGUAACGGACUACCAAGGCGAUGAUCAGUAGGGGGCGUGAGAGCGUGACCCCCCACACGGGUACUGAGACACGGACCCGACUCCUACGGGAGGCAGCAGUAAGGAAUAUUGGUCAAUGGAGGGAACUCUGAACCAGCCAUCCCGCGUGAAGGAUGAAGGGGCUCUGCCUUGUAAACUUCUUUUGCAUGGGACGAAAAAACUUAAUUUAUUAAGGACUGACGGUACCAUGAGAAUAAGCACCGGCUAACUCCGUG
This 486-nucleotide ribosomal RNA is filed under the name uncultured bacterium. Its description in RNAcentral is "bacterial SSU rRNA". It matches the Rfam family "Bacterial small subunit ribosomal RNA", at positions 28 to 507 of the family's 1533-position model. The record is from RNAcentral. RNAcentral also lists the same sequence under 1 other name.